This 855-nucleotide long non-coding RNA is filed under the name Marmota monax (woodchuck). Lineage: Eukaryota; Metazoa; Chordata; Mammalia; Rodentia; Sciuridae. The record is from RNAcentral.
CCCAGGUACCAACAAUACACAACUGAGUUAAAUAGCUCAUGACCUUUGCCCAGGUUCCAGGUGGACUCAUUUUUAUUAUUAUUAUUAUUUGGUGUUGGAGAUUGAACACAAGACACUUUACCACUGAUUCACAUCCCUAGCCCUUUGCUUUUCAUUUUGAGACAGGCUCUCACCAUGUUGCUUAAGGCCUUGUUCAGCUGUUGAUGUUGGCCUCAAACUUAGGAUCCUCCUGCCUCAGCCUCUGGUGUUGUUGGGUCUCCAGUGGGCUUCGUGUUUAAUUUAGCACAGACCUAACAAGCCGAAUAGUAAUUUGCUAUGUGAGCCUUAAAAAUCAAGAAACGCUAGGACAAUCCCUCCUGGAACGCACUGUAGCAAUCUAGGUGUGCAAUGGAAAGGGGACAUGAUGGUCAAAGACAAAGCUGAAAACCAUUGUGCUCGCUUCGGCAGCACAUAUACUAAAAGCUGAAAACCAUAGUUGAAAGAGUUCAGUUUUUAGCAAGAAAAUGAAAAGGAGCAGAAAGCGGCAGGAGAGACCGACAAGUAAACCCGACCCAGAGAAGAAAAAUCUUUGGGAGAAACAAAGAUAUUUGAACAAAAACCAGAGAAGAGAGAACUUAGGGACUUUAAAGCCAGUAUUUAGGUUACCCAGAGAGAAAAAUACUAAACUGAAAAUACCACUGAAGAGAAAAAUAUCAAACUAGGAACACGUGAAAACACCUCAGAGAAGGCAGCUCGAACGCACGAUCUAACACCUGAGAGAAACGCAACCAAAUAGAAAAAAAAAAAAAAGAAACUGGCAAGAAUCACAUAGCCAGUUUGAUUCUCGAGUCUAACAUUAAAACCAGACGUUAAGAC